GCCUUCGUGGUGUAGUGGUCUGCAUGUUCGACGCGUAACCAAGAGGUCCGUGGUUCGAUUCCCGGUGAAGGCG
Molecule: transfer RNA, 73 nt
Filed under: Stegodyphus mimosarum
Lineage: Eukaryota; Metazoa; Arthropoda; Arachnida; Araneae; Eresidae
Rfam family: tRNA
About the family: Transfer RNA (tRNA) molecules are approximately 80 nucleotides in length. Their secondary structure includes four short double-helical elements and three loops (D, anti-codon, and T loops).
Source: Rfam by way of RNAcentral